UUCCUGGCACGCAGCGAUAUUCCUCUGCGUCGGGAUAGGGGUGAAUCAAGGCUAUAUCGAGCUGUGUGGGAGCUGGUUCCCGCCAAAGCCUUGCCCAGUAG
RNAcentral lists this ribosomal RNA (101 nucleotides) under Tetraselmis striata. RNAcentral describes it as "partial Eukaryotic large subunit ribosomal RNA". The record is from RNAcentral. Lineage: Eukaryota; Viridiplantae; Chlorophyta; Chlorodendrophyceae; Chlorodendrales; Chlorodendraceae.